GUCUCUUUCUAGAAUCUGUAUUCUGCAGCCAACUUUGUUGACCAUCUCCGCAAUGCCUUGGACGUCCUGCAUGGAGAGGUGCCCAGAGUCCUGGUCAACCUCGUGGACUUCCUGAACCCCAGUGUCAUGCGGCAGGUGUUCCUGGGAAACCCGGACAAGUGCCCAGUGCAGCAGGCCAGCUUGAACCACUUGGAAGCAAAACAGAGACCCUGGACCUGAGAGCAGAGAUGCCCAUCACCUGUCCCACUCAGAAUGAGCCCUUCCUGAGAACCCCUCGGAACAGUAACUACACGUACCCCACCAAGCCAGCCAUUGAGAACUGGGGCAGUGACUUCCUGUGUACGGAGUGGAAGGCUUCCAAUAGCGUUCCAACCUCUGUCCACCAGCUCCGACCAGCAGACAUCAAAGUGGUGGCCGCCCUGGGUGACUCUCUGACUGUAAGUAGUGAGCCGUGAACCAGGAUGGGCAGCUCAGAGUCCAGCCAGGCCCC
Molecule: small RNA, 490 nt
Filed under: Pongo abelii (Sumatran orangutan)
Lineage: Eukaryota; Metazoa; Chordata; Mammalia; Primates; Hominidae
Description: retained intron
Source: RNAcentral